RNAcentral lists this ribosomal RNA (585 nucleotides) under uncultured bacterium. RNAcentral's name for it is "bacterial SSU rRNA". It matches the Rfam family "Bacterial small subunit ribosomal RNA", at positions 338 to 916 of the family's 1533-position model. The record is from RNAcentral.
CCUACGGGAGGCAGCAGUGGGGAAUUUUGGACAAUGGGGGCAACCCUGAUCCAGCCAUGCCGCGUGAGUGAAGAAGGCCUUCGGGUUGUAAAGCUCUUUCGGCCGGAACGAAAUCGCGCACGUGAAUAACGUGCGUGGAUGACGGUACCGGAGUAAGAAGCACCGGCUAACUACGUGCCAGCAGCCGCGGUAAUACGUAGGGUGCGAGCGUUAAUCGGAAUUACUGGGCGUAAAGCGUGCGCAGGCGGUUCGCUAAGUCAGACGUGAAAGCCCCGGGCUUAACCUGGGAACGGCGUUUGAAACUGGCGGGCUCGAGUACGGCAGAGGGGGGUGGAAUUCCACGUGUAGCAGUGAAAUGCGUAGAUAUGUGGAGGAACACCGAUGGCGAAGGCAGCCCCCUGGGCCGAUACUGACGCUCAUGCACGAAAGCGUGGGGAGCAAACAGGAUUAGAUACCCUGGUAGUCCACGCCCUAAACUAUGUCAACUAGUUGUCGGGGAAGCAAUUCCUUGGUAACGCAGCUAACGCGUGAAGUUGACCGCCUGGGGAGUACGGUCGCAAGAUUAAAACUCAAAGGAAUUGACGG